This 314-nucleotide unclassified non-coding RNA is filed under the name uncultured fungus. RNAcentral's name for it is "partial contains 5.8S ribosomal RNA and internal transcribed spacer 2". The stretch from base 1 to 133 matches the Rfam family "5.8S ribosomal RNA", at positions 22 to 154 of the family's 154-position model. The record is from RNAcentral. Lineage: Eukaryota; Fungi.
UGGUUCUGGCAUCGAUGAAGAACGCAGCGAAAUGCGAUAAGUAAUGUGAAUUGCAGAAUUCAGUGAAUCAUCGAAUCUUUGAACGCACAUUGCGCCCUUUGGUAUUCCGAGGGGCACGCCUGUUCGAGCGUCAUUUAAACAAUCAAGCCCCGCUUGGUCUUGGGCGCGGUCGAGUGACCCGUCCGUAACCCGUUAGCGGUGCAGUCCGGCUUCAAGCGUAGCAAAAAAUCUCGCUUCAGGAGUCCGCGGCGGUGCCCGCCAGGUAACCUAUGUACCUAAAGUUUGACCUCGGAUCAGGUGAGGAUACCCGCUGA